Molecule: ribosomal RNA, 468 nt
Filed under: uncultured bacterium
Lineage: Bacteria
Description: partial 16S ribosomal RNA
Rfam family: Bacterial small subunit ribosomal RNA
Source: RNAcentral
GACGAACGCUGGCGGCGUGCUUAACACAUGCAAGUCGAACGGAAAGGCCCUGCUUUUGUGGGGUGCUCGAGUGGCGAACGGGUGAGUAACACGUGAGUAACCUGCCCUUGACUUUGGGAUAACUUCAGGAAACUGGGGCUAAUACCGGAUAGGAGCUCCUGCUGCAUGGUGGGGGUUGGAAAGUUUCGGCGGUUGGGGAUGGACUCGCGGCUUAUCAGCUUGUUGGUGGGGUAGUGGCUUACCAAGGCUUUGACGGGUAGCCGGCCUGAGAGGGUGACCGGCCACAUUGGGACUGAGAUACGGCCCAGACUCCUACGGGAGGCAGCAGUGGGGAAUAUUGCACAAUGGGCGGAAGCCUGAUGCAGCAACGCCGCGUGCGGGAUGACGGCCUGCGGGGUGUAAACCGCUUUCGCCUGUGACGAAGCGUGAGUGACGGUAAUGGGUAAAGAAGCACCGGCUAACUACGUG